UUUUUAUUGGAUGAUAAUUGUCGCGUGUCAUGUUCUGAUUGAUCAAUCAAAACAACGAUGUAUUUAUUUUUUCAUAAAAUUAACAUCCAAUCAGAACAUGACAUGUGACAGUCAAGAAUA
Non-coding RNA from Glycine soja, 120 nucleotides. NCBI's taxonomy places the organism in Eukaryota, Viridiplantae, Streptophyta, Magnoliopsida, Fabales, Fabaceae. The record is from Rfam.